RNAcentral lists this ribosomal RNA (267 nucleotides) under uncultured bacterium. RNAcentral describes it as "partial 16S ribosomal RNA". It matches the Rfam family "Bacterial small subunit ribosomal RNA", at positions 29 to 319 of the family's 1533-position model. The record is from RNAcentral.
AACGAACGCUGGCGGCAGGCUUAACACAUGCAAGUCGAACGGGUGUAGCAAUACAUCAGUGGCAGACGGGUGAGUAACACGUGGGAACCUUCCUUAAGGUACGGGACAACUCAGGGAAACUUGAGCUAAUACCGUAUACGUCCGAGAGGAGAAAGAUUUAUCGCCUUUAGACGGGCCCGCGUCGGAUUAGCUAGUUGGUGGGGUAACGGCCGUACCAAGGACGACGAUCCGUAGCUGAUCUGAGAGGAUGAUCAGCCACACUGGGAC